This 328-nucleotide unclassified non-coding RNA is filed under the name soil metagenome. RNAcentral's name for it is "partial contains 5.8S ribosomal RNA, internal transcribed spacer 2, and large subunit ribosomal RNA". The stretch from base 1 to 120 matches the Rfam family "5.8S ribosomal RNA", at positions 35 to 154 of the family's 154-position model. The record is from RNAcentral.
GAUGAAGAACGCAGUGAAAUGCGAUAAGUAAUGUGAAUUGCAGAAUUCAGUGAAUCAUCGAAUCUUUGAACGCACAUUGCGCCCCUUGGUAUUCCGAGGGGCAUGCCUGUUCGAGCGUCAUUAUAACCCCUCAAGCUCAGCUUGGUGUUGGGGCCUGCCGCACGGGCAGCCCUUAAAAUCAGUGGCGGUGCCAUCUGGCUCUAAGCGUAGUAAUUCUUCUCGCUAUAGAGUCACGGUGGAUGCUUGCCAUUAACCCCCAAUUUUCAAUGGUUGACCUCGGAUCAGGUAGGGAUACCCGCUGAACUUAAGCAUAUCAAUAAGCGGAGGA